AUUGAACGCUGGCGGCAGGCCUAACACAUGCAAGUCGAACGAGGGGCGGACGGGAGAGUCAUGUCUGGGAAACUGCCUGAUGGAGGGGGAUAAAUACUGGAAAGGGUAUAUAAUACCGCAUACUCUCGGAUGUGCCCAGAUGGGAAUAGCUUGGAGGUGGGGUAAAGGCUCACCUAGGCGACGACCCCUAGCUGGUCUGAGAGGAUGACCAGCCACACUGGAACUGAGACACGGUCCAGACUCCUACGUGAGGCAGCAGUGGGGAAUAUUGCACAAUGGGCGCAAGCCUGAUGCAGCCAUGCCGCGUGUAUGAAGAAGGCCUUCGGGUUGUAAAGUACUUUCAGCGGGGAGGCGUUACCCGCAGAAGAAGCACCGGCUAACUCCGUGCCAGCAGCCGCGGUAAUAC
Molecule: ribosomal RNA, 406 nt
Filed under: uncultured bacterium
Lineage: Bacteria
Description: partial 16S ribosomal RNA
Rfam family: Bacterial small subunit ribosomal RNA
Source: RNAcentral